This 492-nucleotide ribosomal RNA is filed under the name uncultured bacterium. RNAcentral's name for it is "partial 16S ribosomal RNA". It matches the Rfam family "Bacterial small subunit ribosomal RNA", at positions 29 to 507 of the family's 1533-position model. The record is from RNAcentral.
AGUGAACGCUGGCGGUAGGCCUAACACAUGCCAGUCGAACGGCAGCACAGUAAGAGCUUGCUCUUACGGGUGGCGAGUGGCGGACGGGUGAGGAAUACAUCGGAAUCUACUUUUUCGUGGGGGAUAACGUAGGGAAACUUACGCUAAUACCGCAUACGACCUACGGGUGAAAGCAGGGGAUCUUCGGACCUUGCGCGAUUGAAUGAGCCGAUGUCGGAUUAGCUAGUUGGCGGGGUAAAGGCCCACCAAGGCGACGAUCCGUAGCUGGUCUGAGAGGAUGAUCAGGCAAACUGGAACUGGGGAACGGUCCAGGCUCCUAAGGGAGGGAGCAGGGGGGAAUAUUGGGCAAUGGGCGCAAGCCUGAUCCAGCCAUACCGCGUGGGUGAAGGAGGGCUUCGGGUUGUAAAGCCCUUUUGUUGGGGAAAAAAAGCAGCAGGUUAAUACCCCGCUGUUCUGACGGUACCCAAAGAAUAAGCACCGGCUAACUUCGUG